This 1858-nucleotide long non-coding RNA is filed under the name Homo sapiens (human). RNAcentral describes it as "non-protein coding lnc-ANKLE2-2:5". The record is from RNAcentral. Lineage: Eukaryota; Metazoa; Chordata; Mammalia; Primates; Hominidae.
AGGACGCGGGGCAGCCUUGCGCGAAGGGGCGUUUUCGUGGAGCCACCUGCCGCGCCACGCUCCAGUCCCGUCACUUGUGCUCGCGAGCGCCGGUGCGCGCAGGGGGACCAGCGCUCCCUGGGUGGACCGACCCCACCGCUUACCCAUUGCUGGACGCCUGCGUGCACCGACCCCACCGCUUACCCAUUGCUGGACGCUUGCCCUGUUGCCAUCUCCUCGCUAGCGUGAACAGUGCUGCGUGCAGAUCUCUCUUUCAUUGAUUGUUUUGCGUCUGUACCCAGAAGUGGGAUUGCUGGACCAUCUCUGCCCAUUUUAAAAUUGGGAAAUGACAUGAUCUGAUUUAAGCUAUUUAAAAAUCACUUGGGCCUGGGCUCGGUGGCUCACGCGUGUAAUCACAACACUUUGGGAAGCCGAGACAGGCGGAUCACCUGAGGUCAGAAGUUUGAGACCAGCCUGGCCAACAUGGUGAAACCCGGUCUCUACUAAAAAUACAAAAAUUAGCCGGGCACGGUGGCUCCAGCCUGUAAUACCAGCUACUCAGGAGGCUGAGGCAGGAGAGUUGCUUGAACCCAGGAAGCGGAGGUUGCAGUGAGCUGAGAUUGCCUCACUGCACUCCAGCCUGGGCAACAGAGUGAAACAAUGUCUCAAAAAAAUAAAAAUAAAAAAACUGAAUGGUUCCACAGAAAUACUGAGACUUCUGCUUAAACAGGCUUUCUUGAACCUGUACGCUUCCAGUUGGGUCUGCUGCUUCCAGGUCAUUUACUAAAAAUGAUAGGAAGAUUUAAAAAAUAAAAAUAAAAGGAAGGCCGGGCGUGGUGGCUCACGCCUGUAAUCCCAGCACUUUGGGAGGCCUAGGUGAGCGGAUCACGAGGUCAGGAGCUCGAGACCAUCCUGGCUAACACGGUGAAAACCCGUCUCUACUAAUAAUACAAAAAAAAAAAAAAAAAAUAGGGCAUGGUGGCGGGUGCUUGUAGUCCCAGCUACUAGGGAGGCUGAGGCAGGAGAAUGCCGUGAACCCGGGAGGCGGAGCUUGCAGUGAGCCGAGAUCGCGCCACUGCACUCCAGACUGGGCGACAGAGCGAGACUCUGUCUCAAAAAAAUAAAGGAAAAUUGGGCCGGGCGCAGUGCCUCACGCCUGUAAUCCCAGCACUUUGGGAGGCUGAGGUGGGCGGAUCACGAGGUUAGGAGAUCAAGACCAGCCUGACCAACAUGGUGAAACCCCGUCUUUACUGAAAUACAAAAAAGCCUGGCGUGGUGGUGCGCGCCUGUAGUCCCUGCUACUCGAGAGCCUAAGGCCGGAUAAUCGCUUGAACCUGGGAGGCAGAGGUUGCAGUGAGCCAGGAUGGUGCCACUGCACUCCAGCCUGGGUGACAGAGACUCUGUCUCAAAAAAAAGAAAAUCAGCCAGGCUCAGUGGCUCAUGCCUGUAAUCCCAGCACUUUGGGAGGCCGAGGCGGGCAGAUCACCUGAGAUCAGGAGUUUGAGACCAGCCUGGCCAACAUGGUGAAACCCCAUCUCUACUAAAAAUACAAAAAUUAGCUGGUACAUACCUGUAAUCCCAGCUACCCAGGAGGCUGAGGCAGGAGAAUCGCUGGAAUCCAGGAGGCAGAAGCUGCAGUGAGCUGAGAUCACACUACUGCACUCCAGCCUGGGUGACAGAGCAAGACUCCAUCUCAAAAAAUAAAAUAAAAAACAAGGGAAAAUCCACAAGGACAUAGUUGAAUCCAUAAGAAGAAAUGACAGCAGAUAAAUCAGUUAACAAAAGUUCAAGAGCUGGAGAUCAGAUCUUUAUCGACCUGAGAAUAUGGAACACCAGUGCCUAUGUGGAAGGAAACCAGGAAGCAAGUUCAUUUAAUCCA